This 344-nucleotide unclassified non-coding RNA is filed under the name soil metagenome. RNAcentral describes it as "partial contains 5.8S ribosomal RNA, internal transcribed spacer 2, and large subunit ribosomal RNA". The stretch from base 1 to 119 matches the Rfam family "5.8S ribosomal RNA", at positions 35 to 154 of the family's 154-position model. The record is from RNAcentral.
GAUGAAGAACGCAGCGAAAUGCGAUACGUAAUGUGAAUUGCAAAUUCAGUGAAUCAUCGAGUCUUUGAACGCACAUUGCGCCCCCUGGUAUUCCGGGGGGCAUGCCUGUCCGAGCGUCAUUGCUGCCCUCAAGCACGGCUUGUGUGUUGGGCCCCGUCCUCCGAUCCCGGGGGACGGGCCCGAAAGGCAGCGGCGGCACCGCGUCCGGUCCUCGAGCGUAUGGGGCUUUGUCACCCGCUCUGUAGGCCCGGCCGGCGCUUGCCGAUCAACCCAAAUUUUUAUCCAGGUUGACCUCGGAUCAGGUAGGGAUACCCGCUGAACUUAAGCAUAUAAUAAGCGGAGGA